This 107-nucleotide small nucleolar RNA is filed under the name Theobroma cacao (cacao). Its description in RNAcentral is "Plant small nucleolar RNA R71". It matches the Rfam family "Plant small nucleolar RNA R71". Rfam says of the family: R71 is a member of the C/D box family of snoRNAs containing the C (UGAUGA) and D (CUGA) box motifs. Multiple nearly identical copies of this snoRNA have been identified in Arabidopsis, and it is thought to function as a 2'-O-ribose methylation guide for 18S ribosomal RNA. The record is from Rfam by way of RNAcentral. Lineage: Eukaryota; Viridiplantae; Streptophyta; Magnoliopsida; Malvales; Malvaceae.
AGGCCAUCAUGAGGACAAUGCCAAAGUAAUUCUUUGUAUCUUCCCCAAGCCUCAUACAACGAUUCAGAAUCUUGUUGCAUGAAUGAUGUAAUAUCAUUCCUCAUUUU